GACGAACGCUGGCGGCGUGCUUAACACAUGCAAGUCGAACGGAAAGGCCCUGCUUUUGUGGGGUGCUCGAGUGGCGAACGGGUGAGUAACACGUGAGUAACCUGCCCUUGACUUUGGGAUAACUUCAGGAAACUGGGGCUAAUACCGGAUAGGAGCUCCUGCUGCAUGGUGGGGGUUGGAAAGUUUCGGCGGUUGGGGAUGGACUCGCGGCUUAUCAGCUUGUUGGUGGGGUAGUGGCUUACCAAGGCUUUGACGGGUAGCCGGCCUGAGAGGGUGACCGGCCACAUUGGGACUGAGAUACGCCCCAGACUCCUACGUGAGGCAGCAGGGGAGAAUAUUGCACAAUGGGCGGAAGCCUGAUGCAGCAACGCCGCGUGCGGGAUGACGGCCUUCGGGUUGUAAACCGCUUUCGCCUGUGACGAAGCGUGAGUGACGGUAAUGGGUAAAGAAGCACCGGCUAACUACGUG
RNAcentral lists this ribosomal RNA (468 nucleotides) under uncultured bacterium. Its description in RNAcentral is "partial 16S ribosomal RNA". It matches the Rfam family "Bacterial small subunit ribosomal RNA", at positions 28 to 507 of the family's 1533-position model. The record is from RNAcentral.